This 550-nucleotide ribosomal RNA is filed under the name uncultured bacterium. RNAcentral's name for it is "bacterial SSU rRNA". It matches the Rfam family "Bacterial small subunit ribosomal RNA", at positions 355 to 896 of the family's 1533-position model. The record is from RNAcentral.
UAGGGAAUCUUCGGCAAUGGGGGCAACCCUGACCGAGCAACGCCGCGUGAGUGAAGAAGGUUUUCGGAUCGUAAAGCUCUGUUGUAAGAGAAGAACGUGUGUGAGAGUGGAAAGUUCACACAGUGACGGUAACUUACCAGAAAGGGACGGCUAACUACGUGCCAGCAGCCGCGGUAAUACGUAGGUCCCGAGCGCUGUCCGGAUUUAUUGGGCGUAAAGCGAGCGCAGGCGGUUUAAUAAGUCUGAAGUUAAAGGCAGUGGCUUAACCAUUGUUCGCUUUGGAAACUGUUAAACUUGAGUGCAGAAGGGGAGAGUGGAAUUCCAUGUGUAGCGGUGAAAUGCGUAGAUAUAUGGAGGAACACCGGUGGCGAAAGCGGCUCUCUGGUCUGUAACUGACGCUGAGGCUCGAAAGCGUGGGGAGCAAACAGGAUUAGAUACCCUGGUAGUCCACGCCGUAAACGAUGAGUGCUAGGUGUUAGGCCCUUUCCGGGGCUUAGUGCCGCAGCUAACGCAUUAAGCACUCCGCCUGGGGAGUACGACCGCAAGGUUG